RNAcentral lists this long non-coding RNA (751 nucleotides) under Triticum aestivum (bread wheat). Its description in RNAcentral is "long non-coding RNA (TAES_LNC025707)". The record is from RNAcentral. Lineage: Eukaryota; Viridiplantae; Streptophyta; Magnoliopsida; Poales; Poaceae.
CCAUUUACAACAAUAACUGGGCACCUGACUGGGUUCCUUCCAGCGAUGAUGCGUGUGAAUAUGCCAUCGGUGAGAUUACUGAGCGCACUGAAGCUAGCACAAAGUUCUCGUUUCUGACUCCAGUAGACGGUUACACAGCUGUGUUCAGGUUUGACAAUGAAAGGGGUAUUCUGGAGAUUCCUGCAAAUGAGAACUUGAGGUUUUCUCACCAUAUACCUUCUUACCGUCUGACAGAAGAAAAAAGUGGCACGCUCCGUGGCUUCUAUGAGCUAGAUCCAGCUUCUGUUCCUGAUGCUUUCCUGGUCCGAGGCGGCACCUGCUGACCGACUGACUUGGAAGCUAACAUUAAAUUACUUCCAAUUAAGUCAAGUAGUCAUCUGGUCGCUACUAUGAUCUGGUUAUUAAUCACACUUUGAAAGUGUUAUCUGCAGGGGCGAGCAAAUGAUCAGUUAGGCUCUCUGUAUUUCUAGAUGUUUUACCGUAUUUCCUAGUGCUUGGGCGUAUUUUGGCCAUUUCUGUUGUGGACCUUAUGAAAGCUAGGUGUGGACCUUAUGAAAGACUGGAAAAAAGGUAACUUGAUGGUUGUUAGUUUGGAUCAGGAUUCUGCUUACCGUUGUGUUGUGUGCUAUCUGCGUGCAUGCAUUAUUCUGGUUUGUGUUCAGGUUUUUGGCAUUGCUGAACUAUUUGGAGAUGCAUUUAUGCCCUUUCCUAGGUAAGGAGCAGUUUAAUAAAUAGAUAAAUUGCUUAACAU